GUCUAAGGCCAUAUCACCCUGAUCUCGGAAACUAAGCAGGGUCGGGUCUGGCCAGGACUUGGAUGGGAGACCGCCUGGGAAAACCGGGUGCUGUAGGCU
Ribosomal RNA from Aotus nancymaae (Ma's night monkey), 99 nucleotides. The record is from Ensembl. Lineage: Eukaryota; Metazoa; Chordata; Mammalia; Primates; Aotidae.